AAUACUUGCUUAGAUAACAUAAAUAUGUAGAAGUAAAUAAAAGUAGAUUAAUUUGAUAAUAUCUUAUAGAAAAGCUUUUUAUAAGCUUCAUAGACACGAUUUCAUCUUUACACGUAUCUAAAGAUGAUUGGUAGUGUGGAGUAAAAUAAAUUCCUAGUAGUUGGAAGUUUAUUCUAAUCACAAUGAUUUAAUUAUUUAAAUGUUCUAACAAUCAUUGUUUAAUGUUUGAUUUAAUGUCCAAAAAGUCUUAUAACAUUCCAAUUAUGAGUAAAAUAAAUGAUCCUAAUAAGUGAUUUAUUCCAAUUCACAAGUACUAAUUAACUUAUGAAUGAUUAAAUAAAAAUUCUUCUCACUUCUUGUUAAGAAGAACUAACCUCUUUAACAAUUUAAAUUUACAUUCAAACAAUCACAAUC
Molecule: long non-coding RNA, 414 nt
Filed under: Physcomitrium patens
Lineage: Eukaryota; Viridiplantae; Streptophyta; Bryopsida; Funariales; Funariaceae
Description: long non-coding RNA (PPAT_LNC000611)
Source: RNAcentral